Long non-coding RNA from Asparagus officinalis (garden asparagus), 1090 nucleotides. RefSeq lists it as uncharacterized. Lineage: Eukaryota; Viridiplantae; Streptophyta; Magnoliopsida; Asparagales; Asparagaceae. The record is from RefSeq and is a predicted model, not a curated record. The transcript is spliced from 2 exons.
CAUUAACUCCCCUUCAUUUCACUUUCCCAUAACACCUCUCAUCUCCUCUCACGUUCCCAAUUCCCACUAACUUCAAAUCUUUCAACUCUCCCAUCCUCCACCUCCAAAAUCACCGGUCACCUACAGACCCUUUUACCCCUUCACAACCAAGCCUCCAUCUUCUCCUUUCAUCACCGCAACAACAACGACCAGGUGUAUCCUCAAACCACCUCCAACCUCCCAUUCAUCAACUGAAGCCCCAGAUCCAUUUGGCCUAAUGGCUCCAAAAUGCAGAAAAUGCAAUGAAGCUUCAACUUCCAACUCACUGGCAGACUCGCGACACAGAACUACAAGGGGUACCCCUACAACAACCGGUUCCACAUACUUUGCUCCAUGGUGUAUCCACAUCUAGCACGUCCCCAAAUUGGAUCAACAGGUUCAACAUGUUUGAGCGGAGGUAGCAACACUUAAAAGAGUCCGUCCACUCCUUACAACAAUAUAUGGGCACACAAUUCGCUGCCAUUAACACGUGUCUAGAUGGUUUUGGCGCUACACUAGGGACGAUGAACCAGUUGAUACAAGAUUUACAUCACUUUUCUCUACCUCUUGAUUAUCCACCUCCACUACCACCUCAAUGAGCGGAAUUAUUGGAGCUUAGCGCGGAUUCGGAGUCAAGAAGGAGUUAAGGAAUGCAAGGAAAGAAGGCUACACGGAUCCCCAGUGUCCAUCAACACAGGAGUGUUUAAUACAGAAGAAAAAGCCCAGAAAGCAGAGCGAAAUAGAGUUAAACACGGCCUGGUCGUGUUGAUCUGCACAGUCGUGUCGAUAUCAGAAUUCAGUUACAAAACGAUCUAGAGCAGGAUUUGAAGUUAUCUUUCAAUACGUCUUUUCCAGAAUUAAAAGGGAGAUGCCCUGAAGCAUUAGGGAUGGAACCAGAGGCUGGAGAUCUUUAUUUUUCUUUCUUCUUCUUUUCCUCAUCUCUCUAAAAACUCUUAGAUUAGGUUUUCUUUGAUUUUUAGCAAAGUACUGUUUGUGGAGAUUGGUGUAACACAUCGACUUCGAUAUUAUGGUUUUGUUUUCUAUUUCAUCUUAUUUUCCAGUUUAUUAUUAA